GCCGCUAUAGCUCAGUGGCAGAGCACUUCAUUGGUAAUGAAGAGGUCGACGGUUCAAUCCCAUCUAGCGGCA
Molecule: transfer RNA, 72 nt
Filed under: Candidatus Sneabacter namystus
Lineage: Bacteria; Pseudomonadati; Pseudomonadota; Alphaproteobacteria; Rickettsiales; Rickettsiaceae
Rfam family: tRNA
About the family: Transfer RNA (tRNA) molecules are approximately 80 nucleotides in length.
Source: Rfam by way of RNAcentral